GCUGUGAACUCGAUGAGUAGGGCGGGACACGUGACAUCCUGUCUGAAUAUGGGGGGACCAUCCUCCAAGGCUAAAUACUCCUGACUGACCGAUAGUGAACCAGUACCGUGAGGGAAAGGCGAAAAGAACCCCGGCGAGGGGAGUGAAAUAGAACCUGAAACCGUGUACGUACAAGCAGUGGGAGCACCUUCGUGGUGUGACUGCGUACCUUUUGUAUAAUGGGUCAGCGACUUAUAUUUUGUAGCAAGGUUAACCGAAUAGGGGAGCCGUAGGGAAACCGAGUCUUAACUGGGCGUCUAGUUGCAAGGUAUAGACCCGAAACCCGGUGAUCUAGCCAUGGGCAGGUUGAAGGUUGGGUAACACUAACUGGAGGACCGAACCGACUAAUGUUGAAAAAUUAGCGGAUGACUUGUGGCUGGGGGUGAAAGGCCAAUCAAACCGGGAGAUAGCUGGUUCUCCCCGAAAGCUAUUUAGGUAGCGCCUCGUGAACUCAUCUUCGGGGGUAGAGCACUGUUUCGGCUAGGGGUCCAUCCCGGAUUACCAAACCGAUGCAAACUCCGAAUACCGAAGAAUGUUAUCACGGGAGACACACGGCGGGUGCUAACGUCCGUCGUGAAGAGGGAAACAACCCAGACCGCCAGCUAAGGUCCCAAAGUCAUGGUUAAGUGGGAAACGAUGUGGGAAGGCAUAGACAGCCAGGAUGUUGGCUUAGAAGCAGCCAUCAUUUAAAGAAAGCGUAAUAGCUCACUGGUCGAGUCGGCCUGCGCGGAAGAUGUAACGGGGCUAAACCAUGCACCGAAGCUGCGGCAGCGACGCUUAGGCGUUGUUGGGUAGGGGAGCGUUCUGUAAGCCGUUGAAGGUGGCCUGUGAGGGCUGCUGGAGGUAUCAGAAGUGCGAAUGCUGACAUAAGUAACGAUAAUGCGGGUGAAAAACCCGCACGCCGGAAGACCAAGGGUUCCUGUCCAACGUUAAUCGGGGCAGGGUGAGUCGACCCCUAAGGCGAGGCUGAAAAGCGUAGUCGAUGGGAAACAGGUUAAUAUUCCUGUACUGGGUGUGACUGCGAAGGGGGGACGGAGAAGGCUAGGCUAGCCGGGCGACGGUUGUCCCGGUUUAAGCAUGUAGGCGGAGCGACUUGGUAAAUCCGGUUGCUUAUCAACGCUGAGGUGUGAUGACGAGCCACUACGGUGGUGAAGUAGUUGAUGCCAAGCUUCCAGGAAAAGCCUCUAAGCAUCAGGUGACAUUCAAUCGUACCCCAAACCGACACAGGUGGUCAGGUAGAGAAUACUCAGGCGCUUGAGAGAACUCGGGUGAAGGAACUAGGCAAAAUGGUGCCGUAACUUCGGGAGAAGGCACGCUGGCAUUAGGUAAAGAGACUUGCUCUCGGCGCCGAAGCCAGUCGCAGAUACCAGCUGGCUGCAACUGUUUAAUAAAAACACAGCACUGUGCAAACACGAAAGUGGACGUAUACGGUGUGACGCCUGCCCGGUGCUGGAAGGUUAAUUGAUGGGGUCAGCCGCAAGGCGAAGCUCUUGAUCGAAGCCCCAGUAAACGGCGGCCGUAACUAUAACGGUCCUAAGGUAGCGAAAUUCCUUGUCGGGUAAGUUCCGACCUGCACGAAUGGCGUAAUGAUGGCCAGGCUGUCUCCACCCGAGACUCAGUGAAAUUGAACUCGCUGUGAAGAUGCAGUGUACCCGCGGCAAGACGGAAAGACCCCGUGAACCUUUACUAUAGCUUGACACUGAAUAUUGAGCCUUGAUGUGUAGGAUAGGUGGGAGGCAUUGAAGCGUGGACGCCAGUCUGCGUGGAGCCAACCUUGAAAUACCACCCUUUAAUGUUUGAUGUUCUAACUCGGCCCCAUAAUCUGGGGUGAGGACAGUGUCUGGUGGGUAGUUUGACUGGGGCGGUCUCCUCCCAAAGAGUAACGGAGGAGCACGAAGGUUAGCUAAUCACGGUCGGACAUCGUGAGGUUAGUGCAAAGGCAUAAGCUAGCUUGACUGCGAGAGUGACGGCUCGAGCAGGUACGAAAGUAGGUCUUAGUGAUCCGGUGGUUCUGAAUGGAAGGGCCAUCGCUCAACGGAUAAAAGGUACUCCGGGGAUAACAGGCUGAUACCGCCCAAGAGUUCAUAUCGACGGCGGUGUUUGGCACCUCGAUGUCGGCUCAUCACAUCCUGGGGCUGAAGUAGGUCCCAAGGGUAUGGCUGUUCGCCAUUUAAAGUGGUACGCGAGCUGGGUUUAGAACGUCGUGAGACAGUUCGGUCCCUAUCUGCCGUGGGCGUUGGAAGAUUGAGAGGGGCUGCUCCUAGUACGAGAGGACCGGAGUGGACGCAUCACUGGUGUUCGGGUUGUCAUGCCAAUGGCAUUGCCCGGUAGCUAAAUGCGGAAAAGAUAAGCGCUGAAAGCAUCUAAGCGCGAAACUUGCCUCGAGAUGAGUCUUCCCUGGGGCUUUAAGCCCCCUGAAGGAACGUUAAAGACUAUGACGUUGAUAGGCUGGGUGUGUAAGUGCAGCGAUGCAUUGAGCUAACCAGUACUAAUGAUCCGUGAGGCUUAACCUU
This 2552-nucleotide ribosomal RNA is filed under the name Yersinia ruckeri. RNAcentral describes it as "partial 23S ribosomal RNA". It matches the Rfam family "Bacterial large subunit ribosomal RNA", at positions 396 to 2925 of the family's 2925-position model. The record is from RNAcentral. Lineage: Bacteria; Pseudomonadati; Pseudomonadota; Gammaproteobacteria; Enterobacterales; Yersiniaceae.